RNAcentral lists this ribosomal RNA (490 nucleotides) under uncultured bacterium. RNAcentral's name for it is "partial 16S ribosomal RNA". It matches the Rfam family "Bacterial small subunit ribosomal RNA", at positions 29 to 507 of the family's 1533-position model. The record is from RNAcentral.
AGUGAACGCUGGCGGUAGGCCUAACACAUGCAAGUCGAGCGGCAGCACAGGAGAGCUUGCUCUCUAGGUGGCGAGUGGCGGACGGGUGAGGAAUACAUCGGAAUCUGCCCAGUCGUGGGGGAUAACGUAGGGAAACUUACGCUAAUACCGCAUACGACCUUCGGGUGAAAGAGGGGGAUCGCAAGACCUCUCGCGAUUGGAUGAGCCGAUGUCGGAUUAGCUAGUUAGCGGGGUAAUGGCCCACCAAGGCGACGAUCCGUAGCUGGUCUGAGAGGAUGAUCAGCCACACUGGAACUGAGACACGGUCCAGACUCCUACGGGAGGCAGCAGUGGGGAAUAUUGGACAAUGGGCGCAAGCCUGAUCCAGCCAUACCGCGUGGGUGAAGAAGGCCUUCGGGUUGUAAAGCCCUUUUGUUGGGAAAGAAAUCUUUCAGGCUAAUACCCUGGGAGGAUGACGGUACCCAAAGAAUAAGCACCGGCUAACUUCGUG